RNAcentral lists this long non-coding RNA (6049 nucleotides) under Gallus gallus (chicken). RNAcentral describes it as "lncRNA (ENSGALG00010017474.1)". Lineage: Eukaryota; Metazoa; Chordata; Aves; Galliformes; Phasianidae. The record is from RNAcentral.
GAGCUGCCCUCAGGCAGCCAGCCUGGCCACCUCUUCUGCCACGGGAGCUCGCUUCUGUCACAGGCUGGAAGGAGCAAGAGGAGUCCUCCUGUCUCCAGCAGAAAGCUAAAAACAAAUGCUGGAAGCCCAGGAGUUGAUCAGUUCCCAUCUGAACAGGGCCCUCUGAAAGAUGCCCAAUGCACGCACGGUACAUCCUGGUUUUCCAGAAGAGUGCCACAGAGUAUUGGAGCCUGCCCAGCUCUAUGCUCCUUGAGUAGAGGUCCAGCAGAUGGAAGGGGUGAGCCAGUUAUCUGUGGUCUUUUAACAGCUCAGGCAGCAGCACAGUGCUUCCUUUUGGGACCAGCCCAGUUCUGUUAUGCUCCCCACCUGCCACUGCUGUAUCCAAGCACGGGAGAAGCAGCUCCGGGCUGAGGCUUGGCUCACUGGUAAAGGACAAAAGGCACAUCCCAGCCUGGGUAAGUCCAUCUGGAAAAUAGCUAGAAUAUGACCAGAGAUAAGUAGGUUAAAUGACCAGAACACCAUUAGAGCGUAUGAUCCUUAAUUACUACUUCCAGAACACUUUGAUGUCCUUAGGGAGGGAGCAUAUAAAGUUCAAAAUGAGUGCUUAAUAAGUGAGAUUUUCAAAAGCAUUUAAAUAGCAAAGGAGUUCCAGAGACCGCUAAGUUCCAUGGGGAGCUUUGAAAUUCCCCCUCAAGAUAAUAAUUGUACGUCCCACUAUUUGUUAAAAAGCCUUUCUUCUGCAGCGAUAGCCUGUAUUACGUAUACACAUUCUGUAGUCAUGUUUUUGUUCUCUGACUAACUGAAAGCAUAGCCUCAGUGUAUCUCUCUGCGUGUUGUGCAAUAGCAGAUUUGGAAUUUGCAUUUUUUAGAUUACCAGACAAUAAAAAAAAAAAAAAAUAGAGAUUGCGUAGAUAUGCGCCACCCUUCAUUAAAGGCAGUGAUAUUCUCUCCCACCCAGCCCUGCCUAACCAACACAGUAUUGCACAUAUGCCUCCAGACAAUGAGACUACCACACCUUUAGCUUCUAAUUAAAAUUAUUAAGUCGAGAAGGAAAGAAAUGCAUUUUAGUCUGUGCUUGUUAGCCAAAUGUCUCGAUAAAACUGAACAUGUUCUGCUGCUGCCCACCAUCUGUUCUUAUAAAUACUUAUUAAAAACACUGAAUGGGAAAAUAAAUUUGUCAUCACUGACUUUCAGGGAUUUACACCAACUCUGCCCUCAGCUUCGUCUCUAAUGCAGGCUAAUAAACAUCUGUGGAACACGAUACAUUUUUUCCCAUUAAAAAUAUUUUGCAUUUGACAAACUUCAGUAGAAAAGAUUCCAAACCAACGCACGUAUGAAGCUGAAUACAUAGAGGAAUGAGGCCAUCUUUAAUGAGGAUGGUAAUCUAAUGGGGCAAUCUUGCUUUUCCUCUCUUGACCCAUUCCUUACAUAUUCUCAGUCUUUGCACUGCUGAAGAAGUCAACUACCGCAGAAGCACUACACCUCCCUGCCUUUCAUGAAGAGGGGCUUCAGCUUUGAGGCAUCAAAAAAAAUCUUAUUAAUUUCCCUCCACUGGUGGAAAUUCAAAUAUUUUGCAUUAAUGAAUUAAAAAAUAAAUAAAAAAUCAGACUUAACCAUAGCACCCAGUCCAAUCAUGAUUCUUCAUCUAUUGCACCUGAUAGAGUGAAGAAAUCCCAGCUGAUGCAGUGCAGCUAUCAGUAAAUAGGGGUUGACAAGAAUGUCAGUGCUGUUUCUCUUGCAGACUUCCUAAUGAACUUUAGGUCUAAUCAUCAUUCCCAGGCUCUCAUCAGGCAAUUUAAUUAACUUGCCAUCAGUGUCUUCUGUUGAAGCAGAUAAAACAUUAUAGGUACAAUGUUAUGGCCAGGUGCGAUGACAAAGCCAGUAGUAUUUGGAAAAUGAAGGAAAAGGGGACUUUCCUGAGAACACUGCUCAUCUCUAGAACCAUCAUUCUUUAGUGCCUGAAAGACAGGUAAGUAUCCUUCUGCUUGCAGGAAAAAAUGUGAGCUCUGUUUGCAGAGUAAUUGUUGUUAAUUCAUAUUUUUCUUGGUAACUCUUCUCUCUUCCCACAGAUAGUCCUCCCAGUCAAGACACAGUUCCCAAGACAGAAGUGCCUUUACAAGAGAGAUGAAGGAAUGGUACUAGAUAUCAACAUUGUCGGGGUCAGAAGGGGCUCAUAGGUACAGGUACUAAAUUCCCUGGGGAUCUACUUCAGGUGGGACAGAGGCCAUGGAUUUUUUUCAGCAAUUUUUGGUGAGAAAGAGGCUGAGCCCGUGCUAUUGAAGUAAAUGCUGCUCAGCUGAUACCAAACCAGUUGUGGGCAGCUUAGUACUAAUCCCAUCAAAGACCAGCAGUGUUUAGGUGGUGCAAGGCUGGGACUACAUUGGGGCUGGUGCAGUACUGUAAGGAGAAGUCACACCUCCUCCUCAGGCAGGUGUUCUGCAUCCUGCCAGAAGGGGAAGGGAGAGCAAGGAGAGGGCUGAAAUAUAUCUCAUACCAACUGGAAGGGAGCGUGGUUGUUCUGAACUGCAGGGGCACAAGGCAGUCAAAAAGAACAGCAGCAUGUCUUGAAAUAAUAACAUGCAUUAUUAUUUUUAUAUAUCAUAUAUCAUGUAAUAUGCAAUAAAUUGUUUCUAGCAGACAGCAUGAACAAAGAGUGCCUUUUCCACCAUCUGCAAAUUCUCCCUAGAAACUGUUAGGAGUGGGCUUUCCCCUGCAAUUCCUGGUACCAUCCAUUUCAGGUUAGACUGGAAGUAUUGUGAAAGAGGCUGUCGUUGACUCGUUAACAAACCCAGCUCUUUCAGGCUUCUGACUCUCUCACAUUCAAAUCCACAAAACGUCUCUGUGCACUGAUGCAGAGGUGACCGGGGAUGUUAUCUUAUAAAAGACAUUAGAGUAGCUUCGAAAUUCAGAAAUGAAACUUUGCAUUAUCCCCAAGGCUGCUUAUAGGCCAGCCAAGGUGAGAACAAAGAGGAAAAAGUGAAGAUGGAAGUAGGCACUAGAUUACAACUGAGAUGUGUUUCUGUUUUUUCUCUGUGCAUUUGGUUGGUAUUCUGGUUUUUUUUUCCCCACUCUCUCCCUUAUUUUCAGUACGUACAAUAGUUAACUCUGUUGUAAGCUAGCCAAAACUUUCUGAAGGCAAUGGGAAGGAAUUACACUGGUUGCAAAUAUGCACUGGGUAUAUAUGGCCUUUUGUAAAUAGAAAAGCAUGAGAUGUUCCAAAUCCAACUUAAUAUACUUCAGUAGCUUCACUUUAUAUUUUGUUACUGUAGUAUACUGGAAUCUCAGAUUGUGUUUGGAGUAAAUAGUUGCUGACUAAAAAUCUCAGCAAGUACACACACAGAUUUGUUUCAAGAUUCUGAAAAGAAACAAACUGCUGUCCCCUUCUAAAAUCUCUGAAGUUUUGGAGUUCUUGCAGAUUUUCAUCCCAGAACCAAAAAGCAAGAAGCAAGUGCAGGAAAAGAGCAUGGAAGGAGAUUGACAUCUGUUUUCCCUUCACCGUCCUAAAGCAGCUCAGCAUCGGUUCCUGAGCAGCUGAGGAACCUCUGCUGUGGAGGCAAGAACCUUGGAGAGAAGGGCAGGGCACAUUUCCUGGCUAAAGUCAAAGGCACAAGGUGCUGGCCAACACUGAGAUGCCAAACUGGAGGCUGGUCCACCCACCAGAUCUCUAGGAUGUCUCUCGGAGAUUGUGCAGAUCCGAGCAGCAGCACAAAGCAUCGUGAAGUCAAAUGUAACAUUAAAAAUGCAUUCAGCAUGGUAAGUCAGCGUAUCCUUCUACCUAGAUUCCUUUGAAAAUCAGAGCUCAUCUGGGACAAGUAUGACUCCAUCAUGUAUGUGAGUAUAUAGCGAACACUGUUGAACUUGUUGGAGACCUUUAACGUUAUCAAAAUACAACUAAUAGUAAUUAAUAUUUACUUGUCAUAUAGCCUCUCCAAUGAAGAACUAAAAUCAAAAUUAUAACCCUUCUGGGAAUAUGCCAAAGCUGAAGGAAAAGCUAGAAGCACACUAUUCUGUAAUCAGGUCAACUUACCUCAUAGCACUUGCUGUAAAAAUAUGAAUUACGUUAUGUUCCUUUGGCAUUUCUGUGGUUGCCAAUUAUAUUCAAACAUUGUAAGGAGCCUUGCAAACAAUUUGGAUGGAUUCAUGGCUUGCAGUAAGAAUGGCUGUACCCACAGAGCAAGCCUGUGCCAUAGCAAACUCCUCUGCGUUGGUCCUGGCUACAUCCCAGCAGUACCACAAGGCAAGGCCUGGGGGUCACCAGCUCCUGCCUGAGGAAAGCCCACAAAGCAAAUAGAAAGGGAAAUACUGCAGAGCACAGCCCAUCAGCAGUGGGUGACAUGCAGCUGCAAGCACUUAGUCCCUCAGGAGCAGGAUUAACCAAAUCAGUGGUUCUUGGGACAAUGAUGAUGGACUUUGGGUUUAGUAGGGAAAGUGCUGGUGACAGGUAUAAUGGAAUCAUAGUUUAAAUAUAGGAGAACUACAUGCUAUUUCUCUUUUUCCUUUUUUUUUUUUUUUUAAUACAUCGGUAUGUAAAUGGAAAGUCUGGACUGCUGUUAUAGUUUAAUUUCUUCAAAUGGCUGGAGAUCCCAAAACUUUUUAUUUCUUCAGCUGCUUCAUAUACACAUUUGCACACACAACUUUGGAUGCUUGGUAUCUUUGAAAUUCAGGUCAUAUCCACUUGAUAGGCAUGUUUGGGCCUAAUUUUUACUUAUCUUUUAAAAAAUAAAUUUUGGUAAUAGUCUUCAGAAGUAGGAAAAUAGUGAGAAAUUUCUACUGUCAUGCAUGUUCUCACUUUACAGCCAAUCUGAAGUCUACAUGUUCAAAUAAAUCAGUGCUCAAGGACAUUGCUGUCUUCUUCAGGCUUAGGGAGUUAUGCCCAGGCCCAGGAGGUGUGUUUAGGUGCCUAAUGACCAGUGUAUUCCAUAGAUGUUUAAAUAUUAUCACUUAACCAGGACCUGCAUCCAUCUCUGGGCAGAAACAGACAGGAAAUUUUUUAUAUCUAUCUAUCUAUCUAUCUAUUUUUAUAUCUAUUGAGGUAGACAAAAACUUCUACUUGGGACCCUUCUCAGCACUGCUGCAAGGUACAGGGUGGGGUGGAUAGGACGAAAGGGUUCAUCAGCUGGGAUUGCCUCCCACAGCCAAACAGGGCCACAGCUCUCAGGCUGCUCAGGACAUGCACAGAACAAAACCUGCAGCAGCAUGUGCCCAGGAGAGCUCUGCUGUUUCCAAACACGCUGCAACAGCUGCAGAUGCCGCCCAGACACAGCACAGUGCCCAUCUUGCUCCCUUACCACAUGGUACGGACCCUGCUGCUUCUUGAAACUGCCCACGUGCUUGUACAAACCUGUACUUUGCAAAUGCUCACACACGGUGCAUGCAUGAAUUAUUCCCAGGUAUCUGUAAAAUUUAGUUUUGAAAACUGUAAAAUAAUGGCCUGACAACAAGCUGGUCAUAUUUUCCAUGGUUCAUUUACCUCAAACAAACUGAAGGAUCAGCAAAUGUUUUGUAUUAACUUAUUGUUGAGCCAUCCUUGAUUAAGAAAUCGGUUCUUCCUGAAACUUUAUCUGGGAGUGGUCAGGUCUCCACACAGCAUUUCUGCUGCUUUCCUGAGCAAUGGAAGGACCGACACCAGCAAAGAUGGACAACACUUGAGUACUGCCAUCUGUGAUACAAUCAACAGAGCCCCACAGCACUGUUGUUUGGAUCAUUUGGUGCCCAGUUCUGCUCCCACCGAGUUCACAAGAGUUUGUGAUGGGGCAUGUUCAGGCUUCCAGUGUAUUAGUAAUAAUGCUAAUGAUAUUGUAUGCUUUGCCUGCAUUACAGUCUGGUGCUUAGAAAAUAAACAUCUCGGCUUUGCCUCAGUGUUUAUCUCCAAUAAAUACCUCAGCUUUGCCUCAACAAUUAUCUCUUCACAGCAGACCAUUAUCCAGCAGCAACAUAUAAUUCCAUUAACAUUACCGUUUAAAAUAUAUCCUCUCCGUGCUGCAGGGAAAGGAGCUGUGUGUGGGAAAUGUCAGGGGCACCAUGCAUUUUUGGAAUUAAAAUUAAAUCA